AUUACAUCUUUAUUUCGUUCCAUUCAUCUAAAUCCAAAGCUUGAUUGAAAUCUAAAGACACAAAAAGAAGAUGGGCCAAUGAGAUCAGGUCUGUCACUUGCAUGCUACUCAAAGAAGACUCAGUAAUUUUAGAUGAGGCUAUGGAUCGAGACUGCAAAUAAUAAUGUUUUGUUGGAAAUAACUGUUGUCUUAACACUUGAAGUCCUUUCUCUUUAACAGAAUACAUGAAGAUAUGCAUUGGUGCUACACUGGCUGCAUUAGCAUUGUUGCUGGCAACUUUGAUAGUAACAUUGGCAAUAUAGAAACUUGUUAGGAACUUUGUAAUCGUAAAGAUUUAACAAUUAUCUGGUAUUGUAUAUCCAUUCCU
Long non-coding RNA from Rosa chinensis, 367 nucleotides. RefSeq lists it as uncharacterized. The record is from RefSeq and is a predicted model, not a curated record. NCBI's taxonomy places the organism in Eukaryota, Viridiplantae, Streptophyta, Magnoliopsida, Rosales, Rosaceae. The transcript has 3 exons.